RNAcentral lists this ribosomal RNA (400 nucleotides) under Exophiala dermatitidis. RNAcentral's name for it is "partial large subunit ribosomal RNA". It matches the Rfam family "Eukaryotic large subunit ribosomal RNA", at positions 174 to 578 of the family's 3401-position model. Lineage: Eukaryota; Fungi; Ascomycota; Eurotiomycetes; Chaetothyriales; Herpotrichiellaceae. The record is from RNAcentral.
CUCCGGUUUAAAUUUCUUGGAACAGAAUGUCAAAGAGGGUGAGAACCCCGUCUUGGACCGGCAGUAGGGCCCAUGUGAAACUCCUUCGACGAGUCGAGUUGUUUGGGAAUGCAGCUCAAAAUGGGUGGUAAAUUUCAUCUAAAGCUAAAUAUUGGCCAGAGACCGAUAGCGCACAAGUAGAGUGAUCGAAAGAUGAAAAGCACUUUGAAAAGAGAGUUAAACAGUACGUGAAAUUGUUGAAAGGGAAGCGCUUGCAACCAGACUUGCGCGCGGCGGUUCCCCCUUCCUUUUGGUUGGGUUAUUCCGCCGUGUCCAGGCCAACAUCGGUUCUGGGGGUCGGUUAAAGGCCCGGGGAAUGUAUCUACCCUUCGGGCGUAGACUUAUAGCCCCGGGUGUCAUG